RNAcentral lists this ribosomal RNA (253 nucleotides) under uncultured bacterium. RNAcentral describes it as "partial 16S ribosomal RNA". It matches the Rfam family "Bacterial small subunit ribosomal RNA", at positions 524 to 776 of the family's 1533-position model. The record is from RNAcentral.
GACAGAGGUGCCGAGCGUUAGGCGGAAUCACUGGGCUUAAAGCGUGUGUAGGCGGAUCGUUAAGUACCUUGUGAAAUCCCACGGCUUAACCGUGGAACUGCUGGGUAUACUGGCGAUCUUGAGGUGCUCAGGGGCGAGCGGAACAGAUGGUGGAGCGGUGAAAUGCGUAGAUAUCGCUUGGAACGCCGAAGGUGAAAACAGGCUGCUGGGGUUGUGCCGACGCUGAGACACGAAAGCCAGGGGAGCAAACGGG